Molecule: small nucleolar RNA, 206 nt
Filed under: Fukomys damarensis (Damara mole-rat)
Lineage: Eukaryota; Metazoa; Chordata; Mammalia; Rodentia; Bathyergidae
Description: Small nucleolar RNA U3
Rfam family: Small nucleolar RNA U3
About the family: Small nucleolar RNAs (snoRNAs) are involved in the processing and modification of rRNA in the nucleolus.
Source: Rfam by way of RNAcentral
AAGACUAUACUUUCAGGGAUCAUUUAUAUAGUUCAUUACUAGAGAAAUUCUUCUGAUUGUGUAGAAUUCUGGAAACCAUGAGAACAAGCAUGGUGCUUUCUCCUGAGGAUGAAUCUGCACUUGGUGUUGCUUUGCUGUGACUCCCUUGUAUCAUUGAUGAUCAUAAAACAAAACAAAAAAAUGAAUCUGUAAAUUGCCUUUGAGGC